This 2268-nucleotide ribosomal RNA is filed under the name Triticum aestivum (bread wheat). RNAcentral's name for it is "partial small subunit ribosomal RNA". Lineage: Eukaryota; Viridiplantae; Streptophyta; Magnoliopsida; Poales; Poaceae. The record is from RNAcentral.
AUGGCGUCCGGAUCCGCUUCUGCCGCCGGCGCUGGUCCCCUUGGGAGGGGCCUGAUCUCGUGCAUGCACAGCAGCAACUGCCGCGCCGAGGACGCGCCUCUUCUCUCCGACCAGGAUUUGCCCCUAGCCAUCGACAAGCUCAUCGUCGGCUUCUACGAGGAGGCCUUCAGCCGGCUGCCCUGCGACGCCAUGCCGGACCUCCUUCACCUCCUCACCGCCGACGGCGGCGGCUCCUGCCUCGGCCUCCUCGACCCCGUCUCCAACAUCAUCCUCAACACCCUCGCCCUCCUCCCCAAAGACGCCGCCCCCGCCCCCGCAGCAGAACCUUCCACCUCUCCGUCUCCGCCCGCCACAAGAAGAUCCGAAAGAAGCGGAUCCAUCCCCGGUUUUGGCGGCUGGCACGAGGUUGUAUCAAGAUCUUACCAUAGUCUUCUCGCCUUCCUCAUGGCGUAUUUCGGAUGCCUCAAAAAGGAGCAGGCCGUCCGCUACCUCUACAGGGCCGACGCCAAUCUCCUCCUCGCCGUCAUGCUCAUCCAACAUGAUCUAUAUGCGGACGAAGCAUUGGAUCCUGAAUCUGAUAGGACCCAAGCCGCCCUCGAGUACGCAGCCACCAUAGCAGGCCACCCUUCGCCCACCACCUUGGCUCGCCUGAUGUCAAUCCGGCUCCAAGACGACAACUUUGCCCUUCUCAAGAAGCUGUUCUCAGCUGAUGCUCAAGGUAUCCCUCUCACGGUUGAGGAUGUCCGGGCAACCCACCGCAUCCUACACAUGAUGAUGAGUCCGGUUUGUACUGCCAGCAUUAUCCAUACCAAAAGAGGGCUGGUUGUCCAUGUUCGUCACAUGCUGGAGGCUAGUUGCUCCGAAGCUAUAUCGUUCUCUACUACGACGGACGCCAGGACCGCCACCACCACCUUGGGCUGGGAUGGAAUCCCUAUCUCGUCGUUGCAGUCUGGAGUCCUGCCUGACAAGCUGCAAGAUUGCCUGGGAAAAGCAAUAGCAGAUGGCCGGAAACACAAUUUCAAGACACCAUGUGGCGGCGGCGACGCAUGCGAUUACCUGCAGUCUCUCAAGAUGUACCUCCAUGGUAUAAUUCACAACUUGUACAUCAAGGCCCUCAAGUUGCUGCCCACACCCUCUGGCUCGCUCAUGCGCAGCAUCCUCAAGGCCGGCCACUGCUACGGCAGCAUGGACCCUGUCUCCAACAUCAUCGUCAACUCCAUCUGGUACAACAGCUGUGGCUGCGAUCUUCCAGUUUCUGAACGAAGGGACAUGGUAGAGUACAAUGACGUCCUGGACCCCCUAUGUCUGCUCCGCGCACAGGUUCACUCCCUCAAGGGCCUUAUGGAGCUCGCCGCAUUCGCCGACCCCCAAUUCUCGGUGCCGGCUUGUGCUCUGGAGCUCCUCUGCAGUACAAAAUGCGACAUUGCUAGCAUGCCAUCAUCGACAGAGAGUUCUGAAAAGAACCCCUUCCAUGAGUCUGCCAAGGCCGCUGGACACACUCGGCCCCUUGGGCUGGGUGAACUGCACCAGCAGCUGCUGCUGAUGCCCGAUACACGAAGCGAGCUGCUCUCAUUCAUAACUGAGGCUCAAACUAGUGGUACCGUGUUGCGCAUCAACGACAUGACAAAUCGUAUUUCGCUCAUGUGGAACAGAAACAGAUCUGGGGCUCAAAUUAUGCAAGCUCCCGAACUUUGUGCGGGGGCAUUGAGGGCGGUGUCAAGCGAGAGAUCGGAUUAUGAGGAUGACAGGAGCUGGUUCCGUUCAAAGAUUGAACAGUUGCUCAAGGAAUACACGACCAAACAGUUUUUGGGAUCAGAGUAUAAACUUGAUACUAUCUUGGGUGUGGAUGAAAGACACAAAGGCUACUACCCGGGCGGUUAUAUUUGCUACCAUGUGAACUUCACGGCCACAUGUGAUUUGAGGCUUCAAAGGACGCUUUUCUACGCUGAAUUCUCGUCAUCCUCAUGUGAACCGGAGCCAGAAUUCUGCUGCCCUCUACCCUAUGCGAAUGCGGGGCGUUGCUACUAUGGCGUGCUUAGUGCGAGGAAAAUCGUGUAUCCAGAUGACGCCAAGUACAUCCCGGACGAUAUCACCAUCCGCGGAACCCGCAGCGCGGAUGGCAUGCUAGGGAUGGACCUGGUCUACUUCAGUCCCAAGUUGGACGUGGAGAUUGCUGAGAAUCUGAAUGUGUUGCACAGUGAAGAAGAAGAAGAAAAGAGGAGGAAGAAGAAGAAGAGGACAGGGAAGGGGAUGUGUCGUCCAAAUUAA